Molecule: long non-coding RNA, 1025 nt
Filed under: Mastacembelus armatus (zig-zag eel)
Lineage: Eukaryota; Metazoa; Chordata; Actinopteri; Synbranchiformes; Mastacembelidae
Description: lncRNA (ENSMAMG00000025562.1)
Source: RNAcentral
AUGGCUUGGGGACUCUGCAGGUGUAGAUUGCCUGGGGACAGUCAAGGGGUGGUGAAUGCCUUGAUUGUCCAAACAAGCCCGAGCAGACUGGCAGGCGCCAGCGCGGUGACGUCACCCAUUCAUCCGAGCUUUGACGCCUGUCAGCCUGGCGCCGCUCGGGCGGUCUCCAUGGAGACGUCAAACAAGAGCGCUCACACUCCUCAGUUCACCUGGGCGGCGCGCGGACCCCUGAGAAACCGGCUCCGGAGCUCGGGUCGUUCAUUUGGCACCUACCGCCCAGCGCACCUGCAGCCAGGAGGAGGGCUCGGCAUGAUGUUGUUACCGCAAUUUAACACUAAAUAACUGGUGCAUUCCAUCACUGCCCACUUUCACUAGUGUGUGCCACCUUGGUCACUGUAAAACUGUGUGACAUUUGGGUUUGUACGUUUCUGUUCAUUAGCAGGAGUUUAUCUUCCCUGUCAGUGAUGGAUUAUUGUGUAGAUCUAUAAAGACUACACCGUGCCUGGAACUAAUUUAUAGAAUAUGAAGGCAUACUAAAAUAAUAAUAAAAAAACAUGCAUUUAUAUUAAAAGAAAAAAACUACAAAAAAAAGAGAAAAACAUUUUACUUUUACUGACUGUUUUACCCAUUUUCAGUCAGUUCCAUUAUCAUGGUGGGUUUAUAGUAAGAUCAUAUCAGUAAUAAUGAUAAACACUCCAAUAAGUAGCAUAAAACUUACUCGAGUAAAAGUACUAUGAUCAACACAAUGUACUCUAAUGGCCAAAAGUAUUUAUUGCACAGUACAAUGGACCCUGUGAGUGUUACUUUAUUUUAUUUUAUUAGUGGAUCAUCAUUUCCCACACAUUAAGGUGUAAGCAGGACUUUAUUAUUGCAGAUGGCCAGUCAUUUUCCUACUUUAUAUGCUGCUGGGUGUUUUAAUCUAUAACUGCAGCAUAUUAAAAGAUUAUGUCUCACAUAUAAAGUCAGAAUAUGUGAAGUAAUUAGUAACUACAGCUGUGAAACCAAUGCAGUGGAGUAAAAAGCAC